UUGACUGACGGGUGACAUGACAUUAUUUACAUUAUGAGUUUGUGAUUGUGAAAAUUUACAUAAAUGCAGAAGUCUAUGAUGGAAUUCUUCACAUCCGUCGACUCCGCAUGGCUUGGCCCUGCAGUACUUAUGGAAACGAAACUGUGUGAUGAUGAGCCUGUGUAAUGCGGAACGGAUACGAAUUACUGCGCUGCGGAUAUCCAGUAUGCUGUGGUGUCGUCGCCCUAGGCCUGUCGCCUUGAUGUGGAGCGUUGAAGAUGUCACACGGGCCGAAAUUCGCUUGUUUAUCGGCUUCCACCUCCAGGAAGCGCGCGAAGACUUCAAUUUGCGGAUGACCGGGCAGGCAGCGCUCCGCAGCGUAGUCGCACCACUUGCUUUGCAGUAGCGGGGUCAAUUUUGACACUAGAACGUGAAUAAGUUCUGGUGAAUGUAUGUAGGGUGAAUUAUUUAAUAAAUUGACUACACUAA
Long non-coding RNA from Ostrinia nubilalis (European corn borer), 468 nucleotides. RefSeq lists it as uncharacterized. The record is from RefSeq and is a predicted model, not a curated record. Lineage: Eukaryota; Metazoa; Arthropoda; Insecta; Lepidoptera; Crambidae. The transcript is spliced from 2 exons.